Molecule: ribosomal RNA, 445 nt
Filed under: Economidichthys pygmaeus (Western Greece goby)
Lineage: Eukaryota; Metazoa; Chordata; Actinopteri; Gobiiformes; Gobiidae
Description: partial 12S ribosomal RNA
Rfam family: Bacterial small subunit ribosomal RNA
Source: RNAcentral
CAAACUGGGAUUAGAUACCCCACUAUGCCUAGCUGUAAACAAAAGUGACCGACAUACACCACCUCGCUUGCCAGGGAACUACGAGCCCCAGCUUAAAACCCAAAGGACUUGGCGGUGCUUUAGACCCCCCUAGAGGAGCCUGUUCUAGAACCGAUAACCCCCGUUUAACCUCACCCCCUCUUGUUCCCCCCCGCCUAUAUACCGCCGUCGUCAGCUUACCCUGUGAAGGACUAAUAGUGAGCAUAAUUGGCACAGCCUAAAACGUCAGGUCGAGGUGUAGCGUAUGAGGGGGGAAGAAAUGGGCUACAUUCACUGAACCAGUGAAAACGAACGAUAACAUGAAACACCUAUCUAAAGGAGGAUUUAGCAGUAAGAGGGCAGCAGAGUGCCCCCCUGAAACCGGCCCUGAAGCGCGCACACACCGCCCCGUCACCCUCUGCAGUCA